UUUGAGCUCAGCUCCGCAAAGCUAGCUUGAGCUCCACAAAAUUUCGAGUUAGCUCGGGCUGAGCUUAGUUUAACUCAAAAAAGGUAUAAGAGCAACAGAUGGGGGUGGUUGCAAGAUUGAGGCAAUGAGAGUGUGAUUCUAGGAGGUAUGGACUCCCCUUUAAAAUCAAGACAAUAAAUAGGAUGCCAAUGAAAUAGAUUGUGGAAACAAGGAAACUCCACUA
Molecule: long non-coding RNA, 223 nt
Filed under: Elaeis guineensis (African oil palm)
Lineage: Eukaryota; Viridiplantae; Streptophyta; Magnoliopsida; Arecales; Arecaceae
Description: long non-coding RNA (EGUI_LNC036939)
Source: RNAcentral